This 1479-nucleotide ribosomal RNA is filed under the name metagenome. RNAcentral's name for it is "bacterial SSU rRNA". It matches the Rfam family "Bacterial small subunit ribosomal RNA". The record is from RNAcentral.
AGAGUUUGAUCAUGGCUCAGGAUGAACGCUGGCGGCGUGCUUAACACAUGCAAGUCGAGCGAAGCACUCUGCUUUGAUUCUUUCGGGAUGAAGAGCAUUGUGACUGAGCGGCGGACGGGUGAGUAACGCGUGGGUAACCUGCCUCAUACAGGGGGAUAACAGUUAGAAAUGGCUGCUAAUACCGCAUAAGACCACAGCACCGCAUGGUGCAGGGGUAAAAACUCCGGUGGUAUGAGAUGGACCCGCGUCUGAUUAGCUAGUUGGUGGGGUAGCGGCCUACCAAGGCGACGAUCAGUAGCCGACCUGAGAGGGUGACCGGCCACAUUGGGACUGAGACACGGCCCAAACUCCUACGGGAGGCAGCAGUGGGGAAUAUUGCACAAUGGGGGAAACCCUGAUGCAGCGACGCCGCGUGAGCGAAGAAGUAUUUCGGUAUGUAAAGCUCUAUCAGCAGGGAAGAAAAUGACGGUACCUGACUAAGAAGCCCCGGCUAACUACGUGCCAGCAGCCGCGGUAAUACGUAGGGGGCAAGCGUUAUCCGGAUUUAUUGGGUUUAAAGGGAGCGUAGGCCGGAGAUUAAGCGUGUUGUGAAAUGUAGACGCUCAACGUCUGCACUGCAGCGCGAACUGGUUUCCUUGAGUACGCACAAAGUGGGCGGAAUUCGUGGUGUAGCGGUGAAAUGCUUAGAUAUCACGAAGAACUCCGAUUGCGAAGGCAGCUCACUGGAGCGCAACUGACGCUGAAGCUCGAAAGUGCGGGUAUCGAACAGGAUUAGAUACCCUGGUAGUCCGCACGGUAAACGAUGGAUGCCCGCUGUUGGUCUGAACAGGUCAGCGGCCAAGCGAAAGCAUUAAGCAUCCCACCUGGGGAGUACGCCGGCAACGGUGAAACUCAAAGGAAUUGACGGGGGCCCGCACAUGCGGAGGAACAUGUGGUUUAAUUCGAUGAUACGCGAGGAACCUUACCCGGGCUUGAAUUGCAGAGGAAGGAUUUGGAGACAAUGACGCCCUUCGGGGUCUCUGUGAAGGUGCUGCAUGGUUGUCGUCAGCUCGUGCCGCGAGGUGUCGGCUUAAGUGCCAUAACGAGCGCAACCCCUCUCCUUAGUUGCCAUCAGGUUAAGCUGGGCACUCUGGGGACACUGCCACCGUAAGGUGUGAGGAAGGUGGGGAUGACGUCAAAUCAGCACGGCCCUUACGUCCGGGGCUACACACGUGUUACAAUGGCAGGUACAGAGAGACGGUUGUACGUAAGUACGAUCAAAUCCUUAAAGCCUGUCUCAGUUCGGACUGGGGUCUGCAACCCGACCCCACGAAGCUGGAUUCGCUAGUAAUCGCGCAUCAGCCAUGGCGCGGUGAAUACGUUCCCGGGCCUUGUACACACCGCCCGUCAAGCCAUGAAAGCCGGGGGCGCCUAAAGUCCGUGACCGUAAGGAGCGGCCUAGGGCGAAACUGGUAAUUGGGGCUAAGUCGUAACAAGGUA